Molecule: non-coding RNA, 3837 nt
Organism: Nylanderia fulva
Lineage: Eukaryota; Metazoa; Arthropoda; Insecta; Hymenoptera; Formicidae
Source: RefSeq, a predicted model, not a curated record
AUGUUUCUCUUGCUAAAAAAAGAUAUUCUUUAGAAAUAAAAAUUCGCAUAUUUGACAAAUUGUCUUUUUGCUGUGCAAUAUAAAAUAAAAAAUUCAGAUAUAAAAUUUAAGCGCGAUCUCCCCGUGUUCGAAAAUCGCAUAAAUCGCGUCGGUCAACAUCGACGACGUUACAAAUGACAAAUCAGGGAUAACGUAAAACAUUUCAUAUGCAUGUACCGACAAUUGUGCCAUGUGCCUCGGCAAUCAUACAAUUGUUGAAUAUUCAAUUAUAUAAUCGAACUACCGGCGUGUAGUGCCAUAGCACUACGCACGUACGUCGUAUGUCUGCAAAAUUUACAGUUUCUCGUUGCAUUAUUGUAAUCUUUGAACGAUAAUAGGAAACUGUGCACGCGUCUAAUUAUCCUCGCAAACGAGUAUGCUUAUAUAUUUAAAAAAUAAUUACAUUAUUUCUAAAUUAUGCCGAGACAAUCGGCUCGAGCCAAUUGUCAAUCGCGGUUACUUACGGUCCACGUGUCGACGCUUAAAGAAUGAUGAACUAUCCAUAUUUUCGCUCGAGAUAUUAAAUAUGUGUGUUGAUAUCAUUAAAUUUAUUUUAUCUGAAUUUUUAUGUUUUAUCAUAUAAUAUAUACACAUCUUAAUAUUGACGGAUUGUUUCAGGUUUAACAACAGUGCCUAUGGCUUAAUCUGCGCGUCUGAUAUCAGAUAGUGCGUCCAAAAUUUUCCGCUUAUGGACCUCAAAUCAAUGUUUCAAGUGUCCAAUUAUGAAAGUACAUUUCCUUUAAGAUUAAAAGAAAUUGUACGUACCAGUGAGCCAACGGCAGAAUAUUUGGGAUUUUCUGGAAAUAGGUAGAUAUCGAAGAGCAUCCAAACUCCUCUCCAAACGAAAACAACCAAUGUGCCAACAACACCGACACUAAAGGCACAAUCCAAAAAUAUAUAUAUCGAGCUUUCGAAGAGUGUCUUUGGAGUAUACUCUUAGACGAAAGUGGAAGAAAAGGAAUGCUAUAUUUGGAGCCAUAAAAAAGUGCGAUUGUUACAUCGGACUGCGAUCCUACAACUUGUGGUGCAUUCCGAGAGGGAAGAAGAAAGAGUGGAUCGGUACUUACAUUGACGCGAAACAUAGUUUGCACUUCGAAGUAACCCUGACACGAGUCGAGAACGAGCGAGAACGGCGGCGCGGAGACGUUGCGGAUCGCGCGCAUGAUGCCGAGCGCGAGGAGACUGAUGACGACCGUGGCAACAGCUGUACCGGGCGUCUGUUCCGUGUAGAUGUCCAGAGCCUUCCAGGGGCCGCGCCAGGCGUUCACGCAACACAGACCGAACACGCCGGUGUAGAGCCGGGAGCCGAGAUAAUAGGACAGCCGAUGUUUGUCCGGAUGGAGGAUGUCGUCCAGGCUGUGUUGCAGGACGUUGAAGACGAAGAGGCCGAUGAAGCCCAUCGCAAUCGACGCGAAGCUGCUGAACACCGGCUCAUUUGGAUAGACAUAGAAAUCGCUGAGCUCCCAGGUACCUCGCCAGUAACCGACCACCGCGGGCGCGACCAUGAACGCGGAGAAUAUCGUGUCCAGGAUCGUCAGGAUGGCGUAGUGCAGACGAUUCGAGGAUCUCCUGUCUAGCCCCCCAGUCAUCCCGGCGCUAGCCGCGCGCAACUCGACCAUUCUUAUCCAAUCCGGGUCGAAUUUAGUAGUCGCGCCGCUGGUCAUUAUGCAUGGUUUGCGCCUUCAGGAUUACUGACUAUCAUAUAAAAAGAGAAAGAGGAAAGAAGAAAAAAAAGGUGAUCAGUUCAAAAGAACGAGGGGCAACGUGUCCAAAUACGAUGACGUUCGACGUUUUCUUCCUGACAUUCUUCGAUGACGUCUCAACUCUUGAGCUUGAUUCUUCGACUUAUCCGUCAAGAUCAACCUCUGUCAUCGUGACAUGUUCAUGCUCACAUAAUGAUAUGACUCUUGACAGACUGACGAUAUAUUUAUCUAUUACGCUUUCGAGUUCCUAGCUAACUUCUUCAACGUCGGACACGUCGAAAAUGCAGCUUCUUCCAAUGAUGAUGAAAAACACUUUCUCGUGUUUCUCAGAUUGAAUUAUGUAAAUAUAAUCACACAAAAUAUUUUGUAUUUCAACGCACACAAGGGACUCCUCGAGACAACAUCAACAUCGACGCGAAGGAGCCGCGUUAACCGGAUGCAACCCUCGUCCGUGCGCUCGAAAAUCAAAUGGAUCCUGGAGUCGGCAGCAGCGGGGUGAGUACUGACUUGUCUUCGGUACAACUGCUAUCUUUUAUCAACCGCGCUUAGCCGCUAAACGCGCGGACCAACACUAUCGCAUUAUCGCGAACAGCAUCGUCGCUCGCGCGGCGGACCACCGGCCCAGAGUACCGCUCUCCUUUGCUCCCUCGUUCUCUCGUUCCCUCCUCCUCCCCCUCUUAUGCGUUAUAAUCGCCUCUCAUCGCAGUGCUAUCACGGUGCUAUCACGGAUCAGAAUGAUCGGUGGCGAUGAGAGCCGCACACUGUUCCAGCUGUUAUAAUACGGUUCGAAGAUUCGGUGGCGCACGGUAUCUUCCAAGGACUCACAGCGAGAGCUUCCGCUUGUCACGAGUGACAAGAUCAUUAAGCAGUUCAAAGAAGAUGCAUCAACGUAAUGCAAAACACGGAACUUGGAAGAUAAGAGACACAUAUAUAUAUUAAUCCUUCGUCAAAGUAUCUAAAAUUCUCCCAGUGAUUUAUUUCCACAAUUCUGAUAUUUAAUUUGGCUUAAAAGUCAAAUAGGCUAAUGGAAAGAUCGUGACAACUGAAGGAUUCCCGUUUAUAACGCAUCGUGUCACAUUUUGUACCUAUAUCUUGUGUAUUACAUCACAGUUAAAUUGGGUAGAUCACCGUGCGAUUGAGAUAGAAAAGAAAAAAUAUAAGAUUGCAUAAAUAUGAAAAGAAGAAAUAUAAAAAUAUACGUAUAUAUAAUAGCGAGUUUUUAGAAAAGGAUUCUUGAAGCUAAUUAUAAGACAGAUUAAUAUGAAAUUAUAUCCGAUUUCUUGCGGUUUAUUUUAUGGAUAAAGAAGAACAAUUCCAUGACAAUAUGAUAUAAUUUAGUCACCUUGGCGCUAUUUUUUUCUGAAUAGUGUUUCCUGUCUCGUGCUCAUUUAGCCAUUGAUGUAUACUCAUUUAGCCAUUGACGCUUUAGCUAAAGUCGUCGCUAAUCGACUCCUUUUUGUGCACCAAUCAAGCUCGGGUUACAACAUCUUCUCACCUUCGUGCAUUAAUUCACCCUGGCGAGCCUCGUCAAGGGCAUAAAAUUCACUGUCACCUUAAAUAAUUGCGCAAGAUAUGAAAUUAAAUGUCACUUCAAAUGUGAACACGUUGCACUUCAUAAUUUUGAUAAUUUUUGGAGCUUUGUUAUUAUUUUAUUUAUUUUAUAAUUUAAUCCUUGCCUCUCGGCUUUGAAUGGCUUCCGGUUUUACAUUUGUUUAUGUGAGAAUGUUGUAUGUACUAAUGUGUAUAAUAGUGUGUCUUUUACCUAUAAUAGAAUUUCCUCUCAUUCUCUCUAUACAUUUAUAACACCUUUUUAACUUUUUAUCAACUUUUAUAAACAUAAAUGAAGACAAUAUUAUAACUCAAAAUCUGUCGAUACAUUAACUUAACGUAACAUAACAUAAAUUCAUUUUGAAUAUAAACUGUUAUCUUAAUAAUAGUGAUCAUAGUAUAUAUACACAUAUUAUACACAAGUAUACUAGUAUUGAAUAUAAUAACAGUAGUUAUAAUAGACCUAGACAUAAUAGUAUUAUGAAGUAAGACUCAAUAAACUAAAGUCAAGUUAAAUUAAAAUUGAAAUCCAACCUAAAAUAAAACU